GACGAACGCUGGCGGCGUGCCUAACACAUGCAAGUCGAACGGGACCGCAAGGUUCAGUGGCGGACGGGUGCGUAACACGUGAGGAACAUAGCCAACGGCGGGGGAUAGCCGGCCCAACGGCCGGGUAAUACCGCGUACGACCUUUGGGGGGCAUCCCCUGGGGGUGAAAGCAGCAAUGCGCCGAUGGGGUGCCUCGCGGCCUAUCAGCUAGUUGGUGAGGUAACGGCUCACCAAGGCUACGACGGGUAGCUGGUCCGAGAGGAUGACCAGCCACAUUGGGACUGAGACACGGCCCAGACUCCUAUGGGAGGCAGCAGUGGGGAAUAUUGCGCAAUGGGCGAAAGCCUGACGCAGCGACGCCGCGUGUGGGAUGAAGUCUUCGGAUUGUAAACCACUGUCGCGAGGGACGAAGCUCUGACGGUACCUCGAAAGGAAGCACCGGCUAACUCUGUGCCAGCAGCCGC
Molecule: ribosomal RNA, 464 nt
Filed under: uncultured bacterium
Lineage: Bacteria
Description: bacterial SSU rRNA
Rfam family: Bacterial small subunit ribosomal RNA
Source: RNAcentral